UGCCAGCAGCCGCGGUAAUACAUAGGGGUCAAGCGUUGUCCGGAUUUAUUGGGCGUAAAGAGCUCGUAGGCGGUUCAACAAGUCGGUCGUAAAAGUUUAGGGCUCAACCCUAAAAUGUCGAUCGAUACUGUUGUGACUAGGAUACGGUAGAGGUGAGUGGAAUUCUAAGUGUAGAGGUGAAAUUCGUAGAUAUUUGGAGGAACACCAGUGGCGAAGGCGGCUCACUGGCUCGAUACUGACGCUGAGGUACGAAAGUGUGGGGAGCAAACAGGAUUAGAUA
This 280-nucleotide ribosomal RNA is filed under the name uncultured bacterium. Its description in RNAcentral is "partial 16S ribosomal RNA". It matches the Rfam family "Bacterial small subunit ribosomal RNA", at positions 506 to 784 of the family's 1533-position model. The record is from RNAcentral.